Molecule: ribosomal RNA, 487 nt
Filed under: uncultured bacterium
Lineage: Bacteria
Description: bacterial SSU rRNA
Rfam family: Bacterial small subunit ribosomal RNA
Source: RNAcentral
AUUGAACGCUGGCGGCAUGCCUAACACAUGCAAGUCGAACGGCAGCACAGCAGUAGCAAUACUGUGGGUGGCGAGUGGCGGACGGGUGAGGAAUACGUCGGAAUCUGCCCAGUCUGGGGGAUAACUAGCCGAAAGGUUAGCUAAUACCGCAUACGACCGAGAGGUGAAAGCGGGGACCGCAAGGCCUCGCGCGAUUGGAUGAGCCGACGUCGGAUUAGCUAGUUGGCGGGUAAAGGCCCACCAAGGCGACGAUCCGUAGCUGGUCUGAGAGGAUGAUCAGCCACACUGGAACUGAGACACGGUCCAGACUCCUACGGGAGGCAGCAGUGGGGAAUAUUGGACAAUGGGCGCAAGCCUGAUCCAGCAAUGCCGCGUGUGUGAAGAAGGCCUUCGGGUUGUAAAGCACUUUUAUCAGGAACGAAAAGCGUUGGAUUAAUACUCUGACGUGCUGACGGUACCUGAGGAAUAAGCACCGGCUAACUUCGUG